This 471-nucleotide ribosomal RNA is filed under the name uncultured bacterium. RNAcentral describes it as "bacterial SSU rRNA". It matches the Rfam family "Bacterial small subunit ribosomal RNA", at positions 328 to 795 of the family's 1533-position model. The record is from RNAcentral.
UGCCCAGACUCCUACGGGAGGCAGCAGUGAGGAAUAUUGGUCAAUGGGCGCGAGCCUGGACCAGCCAAGUCGCGUGAGGGAUGACGGCCCUACGGGUUGUAAACCUCUUUUGUCGGGGAGCAAAUUCCGUUACGUGUAACGGAGUCGAGAGUACCCGAAGAAAAAGCAUCGGCUAACUCCGUGCCAGCAGCCGCGGUAAUACGGAGGAUGCGAGCGUUAUCCGGAUUUAUUGGGUUUAAAGGGAGCGUAGAUGGGUUGUUAAGUCAGUUGUGAAAGUUUGCGGCUCAACCGUAAAAUUGCAAUUGAUACUGGCAGCCUUGAGUACGGUUGAGGUAGGCGGAAUUCGUGGUGUAGCGGUGAAAUGCUUAGAUAUCACGAAGAACUCCGAUUGCGAAGGCAGCCUACUAAACUGCCACUGACAUUGAUGCUCGAAAGUGUGGGUAUCAAACAGGAUUAGAUACCCGAGUAUUA